This is a long non-coding RNA of Daphnia carinata, 2379 nucleotides long. RefSeq lists it as uncharacterized. The transcript is spliced from 12 exons. Lineage: Eukaryota; Metazoa; Arthropoda; Branchiopoda; Diplostraca; Daphniidae. The record is from RefSeq and is a predicted model, not a curated record.
GGACGCCUUCAGUUGUUACUUCAACAAUUGGUGGAUUGGCUAGCUUUACCACACGCAAAUCCACCUGUGUUGGAUGCAAAACCGUCCUUCCAGACGAUAGUGCUGUAUGCAAAUUUUGCAAGCCGAAAGAAUCGGAGUUCUACUAGAGGGAAAUUGGCCAACUUUAUGCUCUCGAAGAGAAGUUUAAUCGUUUAUGGACAGAAUGACAACGGUGCCAGGGAAAUCUCAACGAAGAGAUUCUUUGUUCCAACCGAGAUUGCCCCAUCCUUUAUUUGAGGACAAAAGUUAGAAAAGAUCUCACGGAACAGGAUAAACUUAUGAAAAGAUUCGACCUACCCUGACAACCUACCGCUCUCGUCAAUGAUGGUGCAUACAGCGUCGUAAGAGUCUCGGAGGGAGUAGGCGGUAAAAUGCGUGAUGUCAUUGUAAUAAAGCUGGCCACACCUCGAAAAGCUGCACAAAUCUCUUCAGUGAAUUGACAGAAGAUGGAAAGCGAUGUGAGCAAUACAUUCUGGAAGCUGUGACAUGUGAUGAAAAGGAACUAUUUAAGGGCAUCGUCUGUGUGGGAACUCUUUAACAAUUUUGAUAAAGUUGUCCUUCAGGUUACAGGAAAAGAUGUAUCUCAAUACAUAACACCAUUCUAAGAAGCCGGCCUGCACCAACUACUACUUGAUUCAAAUGGGACGCUAUGAACUGGGCGGCGUACUUGGUACCGGUUAUGAACAUAUUGUUAGAACAAGGCGUUGCUGGUGCGUCUCCUGCCAUGGCUCAAAAGCCAGAAGUGGUAAUUGGCGCACCCACUCGUGAAUUAGCCAUUCAAAUUCACUGGGAGGCGUGUAAAUUCUCUUUAACAAUUUUUUAAAAGUCGUCCUCCAGGUUACAGGAAAAGAUGUACUUCAAUACAUAACACCAUUUUAAGAAGCCGGCCUGCGCCAACUACUACUUCAAAACAUUAAGAAUUCUGGCUACAUAAAACCAACACCUGUACAGAAAGCUUCAGUUACAGUUAUUCUUGCCAAAAGAGAUUUGAUUGCUUGUGCUGUCAUGUGCUCCGGCAAAACGGCAAUCCAAUUAUUAACGCUGUAUAAUUUUGAAACCUUGAUGCCCUUGUACUGAGUUGAUUCAAAUGGGUCGGUAUGAACUGGGUAAGUUGAAGUAAAAGUAAUUUUGUUUGGGCACGCCGGUGAUUGCGACUACUAAAAGGUCCAAUUGCAUCUAAGAUACUUAACAACCCCUUCGUGAUGUUCGUUGAUUAAGUCAUCUUAAAUUUAACAUUUUUUCAUGCAGGUGGCGUACUUGGUACCGGUUAUGAACAUAUUGUUAGAACAAGAUGUUGCUGGUGCGACUCAUGCCAUGGUUCAAAAGCCAGAAGUUGUAAUUGUCGCACCCGCUCGUGAAUUGCCCAUUCAAAUUCACCGCGAGGCGUGUAAAUUCUCCUACAGUUCGGUUUUAAAGUCUGUGAUUAUAUAUGGAGGAACUGUCACGAGCCAUCAGCGAUCAAAUCUUCAAGCUGGGUGCAAUAUUCUUGUCGCGACCGCGGGGCGACGCAAGGAUUUUCUCGACCGUGGAGUAUUUUACUUCUCGGGGUCAGGUUUUAAAUUUUGGACGAAGCUGAUCGAAUGCUUGACAUGGGUUUCGGCCCCAAUGUUGAAACUAUAAUUUUUAUCAACCAUCCAACGAUGCAUCCGAAAGGAAUCCGUCGUGCUUGUAUGUUUUCGGCUACAUUCCCAGAUGAAGUAAAAGCGCUGGCUGUGACGUACAUGGAAGACUACAUAUUCGUCACAACAGGCAUUGACGGUGGCACGAAUCCGGAUGUUCAAUAGCUGUUUGUUCAGUGCGCGAAAAGAGAUAAGAGAACUAAGCUGAUCGAAGUUUUACAAGAUCUCGGUGAUGCCAAGACUAUCGUUUUUGUCGACAGCAAAAUCACGGCGGAUUUCGUCUCUGCAUUUUUCUGCAAUAACACCUUACAAUCUACCAGCAUCCAUGGUGAUCGUCUUCAGAGUCAGCGUAAGCAAGCUUCGUGACUUCAGAAAUGGUAUUAGGAAUAUUCUCGUGGUGACUAAUGUUGCUGUCCGUGGUAUAGAUAUUGCCAGCGUCAACUAUGUCGUAAAUUAUGACUUGCCAACUGAUAUUGAAGAGUAUGUUCAUCGUGUUGGUCGAACGGGCUGCGUGGGAAAUGUUGGAAAAUCAAUAAGCUUCUUCGACCAAGAAAGAGAUGGCCCUAACGCUGGAAAGUUUGUGUCUUUUUUAACUAAGUCCAACGCCGAUGUCCCGCCAUUCAUGCAAGCGAUGGUCUCAGGUGUGAGUGGAAUGGGUUACGACUUUAGCGCCCCUUCGACUCAAGGGGGCUUUGCUAGUCGAGAUAUGCGCCGAGCAAGU